Oryctolagus cuniculus (rabbit) is the source of this 145-nucleotide non-coding RNA. The record is from Rfam. NCBI's taxonomy places the organism in Eukaryota, Metazoa, Chordata, Mammalia, Lagomorpha, Leporidae.
GAGAGACGCCAGAUUUAUAUCCCAGACACACGCUCCCCGGGCUAGGAGCGGCUGCCGCUGCAGAGUCGAGUCACGGACUGCCUCUGCCUUGUCUUCCUUCCCUUCUUGGAGCUGGUCAGAGCAGGAGUCGGGGGCGGGGGUAAGG